AUACCCUAGUAAUUUUAGCCGUAAACGAUGGAAACUCACUGCCGAGCCGGUAUUCGGAGCGGUGGUCAAGCUAACGCGUGAAGUUUCCCGCCUGGGGACUACGCAUGCAAAUGUGAAACUCAAAGGAAUUGACGGGGACCCGCACAAGCGGUGGAGUAUGUGGUUUAAUUCGAUGCAACGCGAAAAACCUUACCAAGGUUUGAAAUCAUUUCAAAACUCUUUGAAAGAAGAGCCUCCUUCGGGAUGGAAUGACAGGUGGUGCAUGGCUGUCGUCAGCUCGUGUUGUGAAAUGUCAAGUUAAGUCUUGUAACGAGCGCAACCCAUGUCUUUUGUUGCUGUUUACAGUGCUUAAAAGAGACUGCCGCUCUACAGCGGAGGAAGGUGUGGAUGAUGUCAAGUCAGCAUGCCCCUUAUAUCUUGGGCUACACACGUACUACAAUGGUAGGGACAAUGAGUCGCAAACCUGCGAAGGCUAGCCAAUCUCAAAAACCCUAUCUCAGUUCGGAUUGUACUCUGCAACUCGAGUGCAUGAAGGUGGAAUCGCUAGUAAUCGCUGGUCAGCAUACAGCGGUGAAUACGUUCCCGGGUCUUGUACACACUGCCCGUCACACCAUGGAAGUCGAUCCUUCCCUAAGUCGUUACUCGAACCUUUUAGGACGAGGAUGCCGAAGGCAGGGUUGGUGACUAGGGUGAAGUCGUAACAAGGUAGCCGUACUGGAAGGUGUGGCUG
Molecule: ribosomal RNA, 730 nt
Filed under: marine metagenome
Description: bacterial SSU rRNA
Rfam family: Bacterial small subunit ribosomal RNA
Source: RNAcentral